This 2051-nucleotide long non-coding RNA is filed under the name Homo sapiens (human). RNAcentral's name for it is "HSALNT0007149". Lineage: Eukaryota; Metazoa; Chordata; Mammalia; Primates; Hominidae. The record is from RNAcentral.
CUGGGGCUUUUCUGUGGCUUCAGAGUCCUGCUGCCUCCUCAGGAUCCCUGAAUUCAUCCACUCUUCCCCAUCUCCACCGUCACAGCCCACACCUGGGCACCAACAUCCCUGACUUGGACCAUGGACCACCUUGCAAUGAAUUGCAUUAUGUCCACUGAGGCUGCAGUGAGGAGGAUAAAUGCGGGUGGACCUCCACAGGAACAAAUCAUAUCCAUGUCAGGCGGCACCAAACCUAAAUCUGCUUCUGCCUCAGCAGACAGGACAUGGUAACUGUGGCUUCUGCAGCAUUUGGGAUGGAAAAACAUGGGAUGCAAACCAAUUCUAGCAAUGCCUAGAGAUGCAGGGGAUAGAAAUUUCUUCUGUAAGAAUGUACUAGAUAAAAUGUAUAUUUGUUGAAACAAUUAGCUACUCCUUGACCAACAAGGCGAGAGCUCCACUAUAUGGCAUCACCCAUGUAGAUCGUGAACAACAAAGCAUAAUUUGAUCUGACCACCUCAAAACAUUGUUUUUGUUUCCUAUUAUAUUAGGUUGUCCCCACAAAAUUCAUGUCCACCUGAAACUCAGAAUUUGGAAAUAGGGUCUUUGCAGAUGUUGUUGCUUAGGUUAGGAUGAGGUCAUACUCGGUUAGGAUGGGCCCUAAAUAUGGUGUGCUUAUAGGAAAACCAGGUGAAGACACAGAAGAGAAGGCCAUGUGAAGAGGGAGGCAGAGAUUGGAGGCAUACUGUCACAAGCCAAGGUGCGCCUGGGGCCAUCAGGAGCCAGGAGAGGCAAGGAAGAAUUUUCCCCUAGAGCCUUGGGAGGGAGUACAGUGCUGACAGUACCCUAAUUUAGCAUGUCUAGCCUCUAGAACUGUGAGAGAAUAUAUUUCUGUUGCUUUAAGCCACAUAAGUUUAUGGUGAUUUGUUAUGGGAGACCUAGGAAGCUAGUGUACCUGGUAGCUGGUAGACUUUGGGUGAGACUGGGACAGGUACUGCUAAUGGUCAGAGUUUUAAGAGAGGCAAGCAGAGAAACCCCCGUCUCCAUUGCUUCAUGACUUUGUUGCAACACAAACAUUCAUGGUGCUUUUAUUAUACACAAAUUGCUGUGCAGGCCACAGGGGAUGGAGAAAGCAGUUAGACACAGUCCUGGUCUGGUGGAGCUUAUGCUCAGGCAGAGAGAUGGCAGGAUAAAAAGAUGGCUGCUUCACAAGGGAGAAAAAGCAGAGCAGGGACCCAGCCUACGUUUCCCACAGAGACUGCUGUAGUGGGGCGGGUAAGGGGGCAUGAGUUGUUUGAGACCAAGCUGGCAACAAACUGGAGAAAGGCCUGAGUGCAGGGGGUAGGGGAGAGAGGGAGGGAGGAGAUGGACUUAACCCAUUUUCCAUGAGGAUGAAACUGGGAGGAGAGUGAAAGUGCUUCAAGGUGAUUUUUCCAAAGGAUUUCUGGAUGGGGUGCUGUUCAGUGUCUGGUGUUGUGCUUUUGACAAAACCAACAGUGAAACUCUCCAUUAUUACCUAAAGCUUUCAGAGUGAGACCAAUGUUCCUCUGAUGUGGCAUCUUAUAGAUACAUGGUCAUGAGACCUUCUGGCUUUACACAGGUUACUCAUGGACGCAGAUAUUCAUAGUAGAAGGUGGGAUGUGAGCUGGGCAGGAGGCAAGCUGCAAACAAAGCAGCAAUUGAGGCCAGAAAAGGUGAAGGCACAUUCUGUUUGGGAGCUACUCUUUGCUUCCCUAAGAUUCUCCACAACCUAAUGUAGCUACAAUCAAAAGGCAAUUUACUGCCAAGUAAGUGAUAUGGUUUGGCUGUGUCCGCACCCAAAUCUCAUCUUGAAUUGUAGCUCCCAUAAUUCCCACGUGUUGUGGGAGGAAUCUGGUGGGAGAUAAUUGAAUUAUGGGGGCGGUUUCCCUCAUACUGUUCUCGUGGUAGUGAAUAAGUCUUACAACAGCUGAUGGUUUUACAAGGGGAAACCCCUUUUGCUUGGCUCUCAUUUCCUCUUGCCUGCUGCUAUGUAAGAUGUGCCUUUCACCUUCCACCAUGAUUGUGAGGCUUUCUCAGCCACGUGGAACUGUGAA